RNAcentral lists this ribosomal RNA (234 nucleotides) under uncultured bacterium. Its description in RNAcentral is "partial 16S ribosomal RNA". It matches the Rfam family "Bacterial small subunit ribosomal RNA", at positions 102 to 334 of the family's 1533-position model. The record is from RNAcentral.
CCGACGGGUGAGUAACACGUAUCCAACCUGCCGUCUACUCUUGACAGCCUUCUGAAAGGAAGAUUAAUACAAGAUGGCAUCAUGAGUCCGCAUGUUCACAUGAUUAAAGGUAUUCCGGUAGACGAUGGGGAUGCGUUCCAUUAGAUAGUAGGCGGGGUAACGGCCCACCUAGUCUUCGAUGGAUAGGGGUUCUGAGAGGAAGGUCCCCCACAUUGGAACUGAGACACGGUCCAA